AGCGAACGCUGGCGGCAGGCUUAACACAUGCAAGUCGAGCGGGCAUCCUUGUGGUGUCCGCGGCAGACGGGUGAGUAACGCGUGGGAACGUGCCCUUCGGUUCGGAAUAACUCAGGGAAACUUGAGCUAAUACCGGAUACGUGCGAGAGCAGAAAGGUUUAUCUGCCGAAGGAGCGGCCCGCGUCUGAUUAGCUAGUUGGUGAGGUUACGGCUCACCAAGGCGACGAUCAGUAGCUGGUCUGAGAGAAUGAUCAGCCACACUGGGACUGAGACCCGGCCCAGACUCCUACGGGAGGCAGCAGUGGGGGAUAGUGGAAAGUGGGGGCAACGAUGAUCCAGCCAGGCCGGGUGAGUGAUGACGGCCUUAGGGUAGUAAAGCUCUUUUCUCCGGGACGAUAAUGACGGUACCGGAGGAAUAAGCCCCGGCUAACUUCGUG
Molecule: ribosomal RNA, 437 nt
Filed under: uncultured bacterium
Lineage: Bacteria
Description: partial 16S ribosomal RNA
Rfam family: Bacterial small subunit ribosomal RNA
Source: RNAcentral